GGCUCCAUCGUCUAACGGUUAGGACAGAGGCUUCUCAAGCCUUUAAUCGGAGUUCGAUUCUCCGUGGAGUCACCA
This 75-nucleotide transfer RNA is filed under the name Candidatus Uhrbacteria bacterium. RNAcentral describes it as "tRNA-Glu". It matches the Rfam family "tRNA". From Rfam's summary of the family: Transfer RNA (tRNA) molecules are approximately 80 nucleotides in length. Their secondary structure includes four short double-helical elements and three loops (D, anti-codon, and T loops). The record is from RNAcentral. Lineage: Bacteria; Candidatus Uhriibacteriota.